Molecule: ribosomal RNA, 1734 nt
Filed under: human gut metagenome
Description: bacterial LSU rRNA
Rfam family: Bacterial large subunit ribosomal RNA
Source: RNAcentral
GGCUUAGAAGCAGCCACUCAUUAAAAGAGUGCGUAAUAGCUCACUGGUCGAGUGAUUCUGCGCCGAAAAUUUAACGGGGCUAAACUAUACACCGAAGCUUAGGAUACCGCAAGGUAUGGUAGGAGAGCGUUCUGUACGGAGUGAAGUCGUAGCGAAAGCGGCGGUGGACUGUACAGAAGUGAGAAUGCCGGAAUAAGUAGCGAGAAUUAAGUGAGAAUCUUAAUGGCCGAAAGUCUAAGGUUUUUGGAGGAAGGUUCGUCCGCUCCAAGUAAGUCGGGAGCUAAGGUCAGGCCGAAAGGCGUAGCCGAUGCACAAACGGUUGAUAUUCCGUUACCGUCUACAAUUUAAACAAAGGGACACAUACAAAGCGUUUAACCCGGGCGAUGGUUGACCCGGGCGCAAGGGACUGAAAUUAGAGUAGGGAAGUAAAUGUAGCGUAUGGCGAGAAAAGCUUUGUGUAUAGAAGUAGACGCCCGUACCGCAAACCGACACAGGUGGACAGGAAGAGAAUUCUAAGGCCAGCGGGAGAAGGGUAGUUAAGGAACUCGGCAAAUUGACUCCGUAACUUCGGAAUAAGGAGUGCUCGAAAGAGCCGCAGAGAAUAGGCCCAGGCGACUGUUUAGCAAAAACACAGGUCUCUGCCAAAUCGAAAGAUGAAGUAUAGGGGCUGACACCUGCCCGGUGCCGGAAGGUUAAGAGGAGGAGUGCAAGCUCCGAAUUGAAGCCCCGGUAAACGGCGGCCGUAACUAUAACGGUCCUAAGGUAGCGAAAUUCCUUGUCGGGUAAGUUCCGACCCGCACGAAUGGUGUAACGAUCUGGGCACUGUCUCAACUACCCACCCGGCGAAAUUGUAGUACCGGUGAAGAUGCCGGUUACCUGCGGCAAGACGGAAAGACCCCAUGGAGCUUUACUGUAGCCUGAUAUUGGGUUUCGGAAAUCUAUGUACAGGAUAGGCGGGAGACUAGGAAGUAUGAGCGUCAGCUUAUACGGAGUCGUUGUUGGGAUACCGCCCUUAGGUUUCUGGAAUUCUAACCUGCGACCGUGAAUCCGGUCGGGGGACAUUGUCAGGUGGGCAGUUUGACUGGGGCGGUCGCCUCCGAAAAGGUAACGGAGGCGCUCAAAGGUUGGCUCAGCACGGACGGAAACCGUGCCUCUGAGUGUAAACGCAAAAGCCAGCCUAACUGCGAGGAUGACGGUCCGAGCAGUAACGAAAGUUGGAGUUAGUGAUCCGGCGGUAUGUGAAUGGAAAUGCCGUCGCUCAACGGAUAAAAGCUACCCUGGGGAUAACAGGCUGAUCUCCCCCAAGAGUCCACAUCGACGGGGAGGUUUGGCACCUCGAUGUCGGCUCAUCACAUCCUGGGGCUGUAUUCGGUCCCAAGGGUUCGGCUGUUCGCCGAUUAAAGUGGUACGCGAGCUGGGUUCAGAACGUCGCGAGACAGUUCGGUCCCUAUCUGUCGUGGGCGCAGGAUAUUUGAGGAGCUCUGUCCUUAGUACGAGAGGACCGGGAUGGACGUACCUCUGGUGCACCAGUUGUCAUGCCAAUGGCACGGCUGGGCAGCUACGUACGGAACGGAUAAACGCUGAAAGCAUCUAAGCGUGAAGCCGACUCCAAGAUUAGAUAUCCCAUCAGAAUAUGAGUAAGACCCCUUGUAGACUACGAGGUUGAUAGGCUGCGUGUGUAAGCAUGGUGACAUGUUCAGCUUGGCAGUACUAAUAGGUCGAGGGCUUGACCAC